RNAcentral lists this ribosomal RNA (450 nucleotides) under uncultured bacterium. RNAcentral describes it as "partial 16S ribosomal RNA". It matches the Rfam family "Bacterial small subunit ribosomal RNA", at positions 354 to 796 of the family's 1533-position model. The record is from RNAcentral.
GUGGGGAAUUUUGGACAAUGGGCGCAAGCCUGAUCCAGCAAUGCCGCGUGCAGGAAGAAGGCCUUCGGGUUGUAAACUGCUUUUGUACGGAACGAAAAGGCUCUGGCUAAUACCUGGAGCUCAUGACGGUACCGUAAGAAUAAGCACCGGCUAACUACGUGCCAGCAGCCGCGGUAAUACGUAGGGUGCGAGCGUUAAUCGGAAUUACUGGGCGUAAAGCGUGCGCAGGCGGUGCUGUAAGACAGGCGUGAAAUCCCCGGGCUCAACCUGGGAAUUGCGCUUGUGACUGCAGCGCUGGAGUGCGGCAGAGGGGGAUGGAAUUCCGCGUGUAGCAGUGAAAUGCGUAGAUAUGCGGAGGAACACCGAUGGCGAAGGCAAUCCCCUGGGCCUACACUGACGCUCAUGCACGAAAGCGUGGGGAGCAAACAGGAUUAGAAACCCGUGUAGUCC